RNAcentral lists this ribosomal RNA (468 nucleotides) under uncultured bacterium. RNAcentral describes it as "partial 16S ribosomal RNA". It matches the Rfam family "Bacterial small subunit ribosomal RNA", at positions 28 to 507 of the family's 1533-position model. The record is from RNAcentral.
GACGAACGCUGGCGGCGUGCUUAACACAUGCAAGUCGAACGGAAAGGCCCUGCUUUUGUGGGGUGCUCGAGUGGCGAACGGGUGAGUAACACGUGAGUAACCUGCCCUUGACUUUGGGAUAACUUCAGGAAACUGGGGCUAAUACCGGCUAGGAGCUCCUGCUGCAUGGUGGGGGUUGGAAAGUUUCGGCGGUUGGGGAUGGACUCGCGGCUUAUCAGCUUGUUGGUGGGGUAGUGGCUUACCAAGGCUUUGACGGGUAGCCGGCCUGGGAGGGUGACCGGCCACAUUGGGACUGAGAUACGGCCCAGACUCCUACGGGAGGCAGCAGUGGGGAAUAUUGCACAAUGGGCGGAAGCCUGAUGCAGCAACGCCGCGUGCGGGAUGACGGCCUUCGGGUUGUAAACCGCUUUCGCCUGUGACGAAGCGUGAGUGACGGUAAUGGGUAAAGAAGCACCGGCUAACUACGUG